AACGAACGCUGGCGGCAUGCCUAACACAUGCAAGUCGAACGAGACCUUCGGGUCUAGUGGCGCACGGGUGCGUAACGCGUGGGAAUCUGCCCUUAGGUUCGGAAUAACUCAGGGAAACUUGAGCUAAUACCGGAUAAUGACGUAAGUCCAAAGAUUUAUCGCCUAGGGAUGAGCCCGCGUAGGAUUAGCUAGUUGGUGGGUAAAGCCUACCAAGGCGACGAUCCUUAGCUGGUCUGAGAGGAUGAUCAGCCACACUGGGACUGAGACACGGCCCA
Molecule: ribosomal RNA, 275 nt
Filed under: uncultured bacterium
Lineage: Bacteria
Description: partial 16S ribosomal RNA
Rfam family: Bacterial small subunit ribosomal RNA
Source: RNAcentral